CACGUAGGUGGGUCGUUAAGUCGGGGUGAAAUCCCAGAGCUCAACUCUGGAACUGCCUUCGAUACUGGCGACCUUCGAGUUCGGGAGAGGUGAGUGGAACUGUGAGUGUAGAGGUGAAAUUCGUAGAUAUUCGCAAGAACACCAGUGGCGAAGGCGGCUCACUGGCCCGAUACUGACACUGAGGUGCGAAAGCGUGGGGAGCAAACA
RNAcentral lists this ribosomal RNA (207 nucleotides) under uncultured bacterium. RNAcentral's name for it is "partial 16S ribosomal RNA". It matches the Rfam family "Bacterial small subunit ribosomal RNA", at positions 568 to 774 of the family's 1533-position model. The record is from RNAcentral.